CCUACGGGAGGCAGCAGUGAGGAAUAUUGGUCAAUGGCCGGAAGGCUGAACCAGCCAUGCCGCGUGAAGGUCAGUGCCCUAUGGGCGUUAAACUUCUUUUGUGCGGGAGCAAUAAUGGUCACGUGUGGCCAGACGAGAGUACCGUACGAAUAAGCAUCGGCUAACUCCGUGCCAGCAGCCGCGGUAAUACGGGGGAUGCAAGCGUUAUCCGGAUUUAUUGGGUUUAAAGGGUGCGUAGGCUGUGGGGUAAGUCAGCGGUGAAAUGCCCCCGCUCAACGGGGUGAAGUGCCAUUGAUACUGCCUUGCUGGAAUGCGGAUGCCGUGGGAGGAAUGUGUGGUGUAGCGGUGAAAUGCAUAGAUAUCACACAGAACACCAAUAGCGUAGGCAGGUUACUGGGACGGUUCUGACACUAAGGCACGAAAGCGUAGGGAGCAAACGGGAUUAGAUACCCGAGUAGUC
This 460-nucleotide ribosomal RNA is filed under the name uncultured bacterium. RNAcentral's name for it is "partial 16S ribosomal RNA". It matches the Rfam family "Bacterial small subunit ribosomal RNA", at positions 338 to 795 of the family's 1533-position model. The record is from RNAcentral.